UCUUCCCUCUCGCGGGAGGCCUAACACAUGCAAGCCGAGCGGUAUUGUUUCUUCGGAAAUGAGAGAGCGGCGUACGGGUGCGUAACACGUGUGCAACCUGCCUUUAUCUGGGGGAUAGCCUUUCGAAAGGAAGAUUAAUACUCCAUAAUAUAUUGAACGGCAUCGUUUAAUAUUGAAAGCUCCGGCGGAUAGAGAUGGGCACGCGCAAGAUUAGCUAGUUGGUGAGGUAACGGCUCACCAAGGCGAUGAUCUUUAGGGGGCCUGAGAGGGUGAUCCCCCACACUGGUACUGAGACACGGACCAGACUCCUACGGGAGGCAGCAGUGAGGAAUAUUGGUCAAGGGGUGCAAGCCUGAACCAGCCAUCCCGCGUGAAGGACGACUGCCCUAUGGGUUGUAAACUUCUUUUGUAUAGGGAUAAACCUACCCUCGGGAGGGUAGCUGAAGGUACUAUACGAAUAAGCACCGGCUAACUCCGUG
RNAcentral lists this ribosomal RNA (479 nucleotides) under uncultured bacterium. RNAcentral's name for it is "partial 16S ribosomal RNA". It matches the Rfam family "Bacterial small subunit ribosomal RNA", at positions 36 to 507 of the family's 1533-position model. The record is from RNAcentral.